GCUGCCAGUAAAGGCUAUGGAGCCUUAAUAAAAAUGCUCGUAGCCAAUGGGGCUUCCUUAACAGCGAUCGACUCACAAGGUUACACACCGCUGAUGAUGACCUCGCGACUUUCGAAUCCACUUGGACCAAUGAAAUUGCUCUUGGACAGCGGUAGUGACGUCAACGCCCUCAGUUAUUUCCAUGGUACCCUUAUACAUCGCCUUGUCUUGAGUAGGGACUCUGAAUCGCUUGGGUACGCGAUGAAAUUUUGUCCAAAUCUUCUUCUCAUGGAUAACAGGGG
Long non-coding RNA from Macrobrachium nipponense, 281 nucleotides. RefSeq lists it as uncharacterized. Lineage: Eukaryota; Metazoa; Arthropoda; Malacostraca; Decapoda; Palaemonidae. The transcript has 3 exons. The record is from RefSeq and is a predicted model, not a curated record.